UACGGGGGGUGCGAGCGUUGUCCGGAAUCACUGGGCGUAAAGGGCGCGUAGGUGGUUUGAUAAGGGUGUGGCGAAAGUCCGGGGCUCAACCGUCCGAUCUGCCGUGCCGACUGUCAAACUCGAGGGCUGUAGAGGCAGACGGAAUUCCGGGUGUAGCGGUGGAAUGCGUAGAGAUCCGGAGGAAGACCGGUGGCGAAGGCGGUCUGCUGGGCAGUUUCUGACACUGAGGCGCGACAGCGUGGGGAGCAACAGGG
RNAcentral lists this ribosomal RNA (254 nucleotides) under uncultured bacterium. Its description in RNAcentral is "partial 16S ribosomal RNA". It matches the Rfam family "Bacterial small subunit ribosomal RNA", at positions 524 to 776 of the family's 1533-position model. The record is from RNAcentral.